UACGUAGGGUGCGAGCGUUAAUCGGAAUUACUGGGCGUAAAGCGUGCGCAGGCGGUUCGUUGUGUCGGCGGUGAAAGCCCCCGGGCUUAACCUGGGAAUGGCCGUUGAAACUGGCGAACUGGAGUGUGGCAGAGGGGGGUGGAAUUCCGCGUGUAGCAGUGAAAUGCGUAGAGAUGCGGAGGAACACCGAUGGCGAAGGCAGCCCCCCUGGGCUAACACUGACGCUCAGGCACGAAAGCGUGGGGAGCAAACAGG
This 255-nucleotide ribosomal RNA is filed under the name uncultured bacterium. RNAcentral's name for it is "partial 16S ribosomal RNA". It matches the Rfam family "Bacterial small subunit ribosomal RNA", at positions 524 to 776 of the family's 1533-position model. The record is from RNAcentral.